RNAcentral lists this ribosomal RNA (611 nucleotides) under Acinetobacter lwoffii. Its description in RNAcentral is "bacterial SSU rRNA". It matches the Rfam family "Bacterial small subunit ribosomal RNA", at positions 80 to 686 of the family's 1533-position model. The record is from RNAcentral. Lineage: Bacteria; Pseudomonadati; Pseudomonadota; Gammaproteobacteria; Moraxellales; Moraxellaceae.
UUGCUACCUGACCUAGCGGCGGACGGGUGAGUAAUGCUUAGGAAUCUGCCUAUUAGUGGGGGACAACAUCUCGAAAGGGAUGCUAAUACCGCAUACGUCCUACGGGAGAAAGCAGGGGACCUUCGGGCCUUGCGCUAAUAGAUGAGCCUAAGUCGGAUUAGCUAGUUGGUGGGGUAAAGGCCUACCAAGGCGACGAUCUGUAGCGGGUCUGAGAGGAUGAUCCGCCACACUGGGACUGAGACACGGCCCAGACUCCUACGGGAGGCAGCAGUGGGGAAUAUUGGACAAUGGGGGGAACCCUGAUCCAGCCAUGCCGCGUGUGUGAAGAAGGCCUUUUGGUUGUAAAGCACUUUAAGCGAGGAGGAGGCUACCGAGAUUAAUACUCUUGGAUAGUGGACGUUACUCGCAGAAUAAGCACCGGCUAACUCUGUGCCAGCAGCCGCGGUAAUACAGAGGGUGCAAGCGUUAAUCGGAUUUACUGGGCGUAAAGCGCGCGUAGGUGGCCAAUUAAGUCAAAUGUGAAAUCCCCGAGCUUAACUUGGGAAUUGCAUUCGAUACUGGUUGGCUAGAGUAUGGGAGAGGAUGGUAGAAUUCCAGGUGUAGCGGUGAAA